RNAcentral lists this transfer RNA (85 nucleotides) under Chloroflexi bacterium RBG_16_57_8. RNAcentral describes it as "tRNA-Leu". It matches the Rfam family "tRNA". From Rfam's summary of the family: Transfer RNA (tRNA) molecules are approximately 80 nucleotides in length. Their secondary structure includes four short double-helical elements and three loops (D, anti-codon, and T loops). Lineage: Bacteria; Bacillati; Chloroflexota. The record is from RNAcentral.
GGGGAAGUGCUGGAAUUGGCAGACAGCCUGGACUUAGAAUCCAGUGCCGCAAGGCGUGAGGGUUCAAAUCCCUCCUUCCCCACCA